This 506-nucleotide long non-coding RNA is filed under the name Manihot esculenta (cassava). RNAcentral describes it as "long non-coding RNA (MESC_LNC009962)". Lineage: Eukaryota; Viridiplantae; Streptophyta; Magnoliopsida; Malpighiales; Euphorbiaceae. The record is from RNAcentral.
CUAAGGUGAGUUCAUGCUUUCCUUGGGUUGAUUUCAUGGUUUCUCUUCAAAUCUUUCAAGGUUUUCAUGAGUUUUCUCCUUGAAUUCAAGAGUUGUGAGCUUGGAGCAAGGAGGUGGAGCUUGGAGACUUUUGGAGCUUGGAUCUCCAUAUCUUCAAGUUUGGGAUCACACCAGCCUUUGUUCUUCAAGAGGUAUGUGUUGAUCCUUAUGUUUUCUGAUGUGUUAAGCAAGUUUUAUGGAGGGAGAAGGGAGUUAUGCAUGAGUUUUUGCAUGAGUUGUGCAUGUGAGGGUUUAGGGACCCUUUGUGCCUUUGUAUGUUGUUUGAGUUGUUUUUGGGGUUUUGAGCUUGUUCUAAGCCCCUAUGUGUUAGUAGAAGUGUUUAUGCAUGUUGAGUGAGUUUUGGGGGAAGUUGAGUAUGAGGUGAGCGAGGUUCUGCCUAACUGGAGAACCCAGCUUCGGCCGCCGAAAGAGGGUUCGGCCGCCGAACGUGAUGAGGAGGUGGUUUC